GCAUAAUCACUUGUCUACUAAUUAUAGUCUAGAAUGAAUGAACUAAUGAAAUCACACCUGUCUCUUACAGACAAAUAUAAACUAAUCUAGGAGUGAAGAAGCUCCUAUCUCCCCACAAGACAAGAAGACCCUAUAGAGCUUAAUUAUAAAAUUUAAUAAAAAAAUUAGAUAAAUUAGGUUGGGGCGACCUAGGCAUAUUAAACAACCAAUAAACUUAUAGAUAUCCAUAUCAAAAAUAAUGACCCAAUUAUAUUGACCAUAGAAACAAGCUACCUUAGGGAUAACAGGCUAAUUCUUUUUAAGAGUCCAUAUCUACAAAAGAGCUUGGCACCUCGAUGUUGGCUUAAGAUUCCUUUAUGGCGCAGAAGCUAUACCAGUAGGUUUGUUCAACCUAUAAUAUCUU
Molecule: ribosomal RNA, 403 nt
Filed under: Clitellata sp. 058-BGR-0146
Lineage: Eukaryota; Metazoa; Annelida; Clitellata
Description: partial 16S ribosomal RNA
Rfam family: Bacterial large subunit ribosomal RNA
Source: RNAcentral